This 411-nucleotide long non-coding RNA is filed under the name Marmota monax (woodchuck). Lineage: Eukaryota; Metazoa; Chordata; Mammalia; Rodentia; Sciuridae. The record is from RNAcentral.
GUAAGGCAGACGGCAAGCCAAGGAAGCCGGCCACCGAGGCUCGGGCGCUGUGGGUCUGCCUGUCUGUCUGUGUGUCUCACUGUCUGUCUGUACCUCACAGCUCCUGAGAAGCCUGCUGCAGCCGCCAGCGUGGAGGAUGGUCCUCAUCUGCACACCCCCCUUCCCCAAAGACACUGAGGGAUGGAUCCCCGACUUUGGACUGUGAGAUCCUUUCCUCCAGGACUCUCCAGAGGCAGGUCCCUGGCCAACCAACAACAAAAGUCCGAGAUUCAGCAACCCAAACAGCACGGCCACAUCAGCCAAUGUCCCCGAUUAGUAUAUAAAGAAGAGGAAGAAGAAGAAAAGAAGGCUCCCAUUCUGAGUGGAGCCAAGCUUUGUGUCCAUGCCUCCUCCCUCAAGAUGAUCUCCAGA